UUUUUUUUUUUUUGCAUUUGGUUCUCUUUCUCUUUCGAAAGAAACGAAAACUUGAAAGCAAGAAUCGAUUUUUCAAAAUUUGAUUCACAACCCAUCAGUUUCCAGAUAACAAAUUGAUCUCUCCUCACCGCCAUCUUUUCCACGGAUUCGUCCUAUCGGGGUUGAUGGAAGUGGGAAGAAGAAGGCAUGUGGGUUUUCUGUUGGCAAGAAGAAAUUGAUAACGUAACUGACUCCAGCUGCUAAAGCUAAAGCUGCUCAAGCUAUGGAGCUAGACAAUUGACAAGGAACCUCAGUUUUCUUUUCACUUGUAUGUAACCCUCUGUUCUACAUUGUCAUCUUUGUCUCUUUAGUUUCGUUUGAAAAAAUCAAGUUGAAGCUAGCUUCUUCCUUUUAAUAGGUUAUAUACUCUUAUGUAUCACUCUUCUUUUCGAGUUCAAGAUUUUGCUAUCAAACCUGCUCGGAUCAAUGUCGAUUCUGCUAUAAAUGAUCUGAAGGCACUAAUGUUGUAACUUGUAACACAGUACAGACUCAACAAAACUCAACAUAGAACAAGAAAUCAAUGUUCA
Molecule: long non-coding RNA, 566 nt
Organism: Camelina sativa (false flax)
Lineage: Eukaryota; Viridiplantae; Streptophyta; Magnoliopsida; Brassicales; Brassicaceae
Source: RefSeq, a predicted model, not a curated record